Molecule: ribosomal RNA, 1513 nt
Filed under: Cutibacterium acnes HL099PA1
Lineage: Bacteria; Bacillati; Actinomycetota; Actinomycetes; Propionibacteriales; Propionibacteriaceae
Also listed under: 3 other names
Description: 16S ribosomal RNA
Rfam family: Bacterial small subunit ribosomal RNA
Source: RNAcentral
AGAGUUUGAUCCUGGCUCAGGACGAACGCUGGCGGCGUGCUUAACACAUGCAAGUCGAACGGAAAGGCCCUGCUUUUGUGGGGUGCUCGAGUGGCGAACGGGUGAGUAACACGUGAGUAACCUGCCCUUGACUUUGGGAUAACUUCAGGAAACUGGGGCUAAUACCGGAUAGGAGCUCCUGCUGCAUGGUGGGGGUUGGAAAGUUUCGGCGGUUGGGGAUGGACUCGCGGCUUAUCAGCUUGUUGGUGGGGUAGUGGCUUACCAAGGCUUUGACGGGUAGCCGGCCUGAGAGGGUGACCGGCCACAUUGGGACUGAGAUACGGCCCAGACUCCUACGGGAGGCAGCAGUGGGGAAUAUUGCACAAUGGGCGGAAGCCUGAUGCAGCAACGCCGCGUGCGGGAUGACGGCCUUCGGGUUGUAAACCGCUUUCGCCUGUGACGAAGCGUGAGUGACGGUAAUGGGUAAAGAAGCACCGGCUAACUACGUGCCAGCAGCCGCGGUGAUACGUAGGGUGCGAGCGUUGUCCGGAUUUAUUGGGCGUAAAGGGCUCGUAGGUGGUUGAUCGCGUCGGAAGUGUAAUCUUGGGGCUUAACCCUGAGCGUGCUUUCGAUACGGGUUGACUUGAGGAAGGUAGGGGAGAAUGGAAUUCCUGGUGGAGCGGUGGAAUGCGCAGAUAUCAGGAGGAACACCAGUGGCGAAGGCGGUUCUCUGGGCCUUUCCUGACGCUGAGGAGCGAAAGCGUGGGGAGCGAACAGGCUUAGAUACCCUGGUAGUCCACGCUGUAAACGGUGGGUACUAGGUGUGGGGUCCAUUCCACGGGUUCCGUGCCGUAGCUAACGCUUUAAGUACCCCGCCUGGGGAGUACGGCCGCAAGGCUAAAACUCAAAGGAAUUGACGGGGCCCCGCACAAGCGGCGGAGCAUGCGGAUUAAUUCGAUGCAACGCGUAGAACCUUACCUGGGUUUGACAUGGAUCGGGAGUGCUCAGAGAUGGGUGUGCCUCUUUUGGGGUCGGUUCACAGGUGGUGCAUGCCUGUCGUCAGCUCGUGUCGUGAGAUGUUGGGUUAAGUCCCGCAACGAGCGCAACCCUUGUUCACUGUUGCCAGCACGUUAUGGUGGGGACUCAGUGGAGACCGCCGGGGUCAACUCGGAGGAAGGUGGGGAUGACGUCAAGUCCUCAUGCCCCUUAUGUCCAGGGCUUCACGCAUGCUACAAUGGCUGGUACAGAGAGUGGCGAGCCUGUGAGGGUGAGCGAAUCUCGGAAAGCCGGUCUCAGUUCGGAUUGGGGUCUGCAACUCGACCUCAUGAAGUCGGAGUCGCUAGUAAUCGCAGAUCAGCAACGCUGCGGUGAAUACGUUCCCGGGGCUUGUACACACCGCCCGUCAAGUCAUGAAAGUUGGUAACACCCGAAGCCGGUGGCCUAACCGUUGUGGGGGAGCCGUCGAAGGUGGGACUGGUGAUUAGGACUAAGUCGUAACAAGGUAGCCGUACCGGAAGGUGCGGCUGGAUCACCU